GAGCUAAGAAGUUGCUGGAACUUGUUGAACAUCAGCUGGUUGAAACCUUGUUGUCGAGAUGGAACAUUGGCUGUGGAUCAUUCUGGCUGCUCUGUUCUCUGGAAGCAGAGCACAAACAGACAGCGUGCUGCAGCCACAAGCAGAGGUGGCAGCUACUGAAGGAGAGGCUGUGACACUUGGCUGUCAAUACAACAGCAGUUCAUCAAAUCAUUAUCUCUUCUGGUACAAACAGGACGGAAACAACAGCCCCAAAUUCAUCCUGAGUCGCUUUAAGGUUGGCUCGGGGGAAACCGAGGACGAGGAGAGAUUUUCAUCCACACUGGAUUCCACCUUAAGAUCAGUUCCUCUGAAGAUCCAGAAGCUUCAUCUGUCAGACUCUGCUGUGUACUACUGUGCUAUGAGGCCCACAGUGACAGGAAACACCACAACUCUGUACAAAAACCUUUGGAGCAAAGACAAAACUGCACAACAUCCACUAGAGGGAGCCUCACUCUGUAACUUCAGUAGUGUUGAUGAUACAGUCUGGAUUCUUUGUCGUGGUGAUGAAAACAACAGAAAAUGAAGCACUGAAGAAGGAACAGGCCGAGAUCUAUUAGAGCUCAGAUAGAACUUUUAAAGUAAAUUCUUUGUUAGACUCACUUAUAUUGUCAAAAGCCUGAAUAUGAAACAAUUUGAACAAUGCCAAAAUAUAUUUGAGUAAAAUAUCGGACAUUUUUUUAAUGAUAUGUAACAGUGUUUAAAUAUAUUUACGCUCAUCUUCAAAUGCAUUAUUGAUAAUUCACACAGUUUGAACAAAGUCUCAAUAAACUAGUUGUCAUCAGA
Non-coding RNA from Cyclopterus lumpus (lumpfish), 822 nucleotides. The record is from the annotation of a RefSeq genome assembly. Lineage: Eukaryota; Metazoa; Chordata; Actinopteri; Perciformes; Cyclopteridae.